UGGGGAAUAUUGCACAAUGGGCGCAAGCCUGAUGCAGCCAUGCCGCGUGUGUGAAGAAGGCCUUCGGGUUGUAAAGCACUUUCAGCGGGGAGGAAGGCGUUAAGGUUAAUAACCUUGGCGAUUGACGUUACCCGCAGAAGAAGCACCGGCUAACUCCGUGCCAGCAGCCGCGGUAAUACGGAGGGUGCAAGCGUUAAUCGGAAUUACUGGGCGUAAAGCGCACGCAGGCGGUCUGUCAAGUCGGAUGUGAAAUCCCCGGGCUCAACCUGGGAACUGCAUUAGAAACUGGCAGGCUAGAGUCUUGUAGAGGGGGGUAGAAUUCCAGGUGUAGCGAUGAAAUGCGGAGAGAUCUGGAGGAAUACCGGUGGCGAAGGCGGCCCCCUGGACAAAGACUGACGCUCAGGUGCGAAAGCGUGGGGAGCAAACAGG
This 429-nucleotide ribosomal RNA is filed under the name Chloroflexota bacterium. RNAcentral's name for it is "Chloroflexi bacterium partial 16S ribosomal RNA". It matches the Rfam family "Bacterial small subunit ribosomal RNA", at positions 355 to 776 of the family's 1533-position model. Lineage: Bacteria; Bacillati; Chloroflexota. The record is from RNAcentral.